This is a long non-coding RNA of Homo sapiens (human), 756 nucleotides long. The record is from Ensembl. Lineage: Eukaryota; Metazoa; Chordata; Mammalia; Primates; Hominidae.
CGGGUGUCUGCGCAGAACACGGCUCCUUUGAGAGAACUGUCGGUGCCACUUUUGUUUCCGACACAUGUAUGCGUAUGUCUGUGGAUUUCUGAACGAAGCAGAGCUCAGCUCUUGCCCUCUCACAUCCUUUGAAGAUGACCACCUUGAAGAUUAGGAUGAAAAGCAAACCCUCGGCUCCUGGCCUGAGCUCUUGGCAAUCAUGUCUCUCACCAGGCAGGAAGCAAAAGAAGAUUGUUUCUGCACUCAUUUGUUUUCAGAACAGUGGAGCAAACAGUCAUUUACUGGUCUCCAUAGACACUGAAGAGACACCAGGUGGCGGUGACUCUGCGGGUUGCAAAUGUCCCCAGCGUCAGAUUCAUAUUAUUUCCCCUGACCCCCUCUGUCCUCUGUGGAUGAGGAGAGCUGGGCAGAACACCUUGGUGGGGUCUCAGGGCUCCAGCGGUGACCACUGCUGGGUCGGACCAGCAAAUGGAAAGGAGCCCACGUGUGCUCUCUGUGGCCCGGGCGGUAAAGAGGAGGUGGAUCCCGGGGCUGUGGGUGAGAGCAGUGGGAAUACCAGGUACUAUUUCUUCCCUCCAUUAAUCCUCCCAAAAGAUUGCUAUGUCUGCACCAAAGUCCCUGCUUAAAACUUUGGAACAAGAAUGUAGCUUCAACGGCCAGGCGUGGUGGUUCAUGCCUGUAAUCCCAAUGCUUUGGGAGGCCAAGGCAGGCGGAUCACCUGAGGUCUGGAGUUUGAGACCAGCCUGGCCAACAUGG